This 484-nucleotide ribosomal RNA is filed under the name uncultured bacterium. Its description in RNAcentral is "partial 16S ribosomal RNA". It matches the Rfam family "Bacterial small subunit ribosomal RNA", at positions 30 to 507 of the family's 1533-position model. The record is from RNAcentral.
AUUGAACGCUGGCGGCAGGCCUAACACAUGCAAGUCGAGCGGAUGAAGGGAGCUUGCUCCUGGAUUCAGCGGCGGACGGGUGAGUAAUGCCUAGGAAUCUGCCUGGUAGUGGGGGAUAACGUCCGGAAACGGGCGCUAAUACCGCAUACGUCCUGAGGGAGAAAGUGGGGGAUCUUCGGACCUCACGCUAUCAACUAAGCCUAGGUCGGAUUAGCUAGUUGGUGGGGUAAAGGCCUACCAAGGCGACGAUCCGUAACUGGUCUGAGAGGAUGAUCACUCACACUGGAACUGAGACACGGUCCAGACUCCUACGGGAGGCAGCAGUGGGGAAUAUUGGACAAUGGGCGAAAGCCUGAUCCAGCCAUGCCGCGUGUGUGAAGAAGGUCUUCGGAUUGUAAAGCACUUUAAGUUGGGAGGAAGGGCAGUAAGUUAAUACCUUGCUGUUUUGACGUUACCAACAGAAUAAGCACCGGCUAACUUCGUG